AUUGUUAUUUUGUCAUGAUAGUCAACUUUCUGGUGUCAUCUGUACUUUGUUGAUCGGUAAAUGUUAGGUUCCAUGUUGACAUGCAUUUAUCUUCAGAAGAGGAGGGAAAAACAACUACCUUGUGAAAGUUCUGGGAACUUAAAAUAUCUAAUGGUGACAUUUCCUAAUGUUGGGAACCUUUUAGGAGGCAAUUUUUUUCCCUCAAUGGAAUUGAGGGACUAGCAAAAGACUUUGGCUCAUAAUAGUAAUUUGCUACCUUAAUAAGAU
Molecule: long non-coding RNA, 267 nt
Organism: Telopea speciosissima
Lineage: Eukaryota; Viridiplantae; Streptophyta; Magnoliopsida; Proteales; Proteaceae
Exons: 2
Source: RefSeq, a predicted model, not a curated record